This 429-nucleotide ribosomal RNA is filed under the name Bacillota bacterium. Its description in RNAcentral is "Firmicutes bacterium partial 16S ribosomal RNA". It matches the Rfam family "Bacterial small subunit ribosomal RNA", at positions 355 to 776 of the family's 1533-position model. Lineage: Bacteria; Bacillati; Bacillota. The record is from RNAcentral.
UGGGGAAUUUUGGACAAUGUGGGCAACCCUGAUCCAGCAAUGCCGCGUGUGUGAAGAAGGCCUUCGGGUUGUAAAGUACUCUUGUCCGGGAAGAAAUCGCACCUGAUAAUACUGGGUGUGGAUGACGGUACUGGAAGAAUAAGGACCGGCUAACUACGUUCCAGCAGCCGUGGUAAUACGUAGGGCCCAAGCGUUAAUCGUCAUUACUGGGCGUACAGCGUGCGUAGGCCGUUGUGCAAGACCGAUGUGAAAUCCCCGGGCUUAACUUGGGAAUUGCAUGGGUGAUAGCACGGAUAGCGUGUGUGAGAGGAUGGUAGAAUUCCACGUGUAGCAGUGAGAUGCGUAGAGAUAUGGAGGAAUACAGAUGGCGAAGGCAGCCCCCUGAGAUAACACUGACGCUCAUGCACGAAAGCGUGGGGAGCAAACAGA